This 460-nucleotide ribosomal RNA is filed under the name uncultured bacterium. RNAcentral's name for it is "partial 16S ribosomal RNA". It matches the Rfam family "Bacterial small subunit ribosomal RNA", at positions 338 to 795 of the family's 1533-position model. The record is from RNAcentral.
CCUACGGGUGGCAGCAGUGAGGAAUAUUGGUCAAUGGGCGGAAGCCUGAACCAGCCAAGUAGCGUGCAGGAUGACGGCCCUACGGGUUGUAAACUGCUUUUAUACGGGAAUAAAGCGUCUUACGUGUAGGGCUUUGCAUGUACCGUAUGAAUAAGGCACGGCUAAUUCCGUGCCAGCAGCCGCGGUAAUACGGAAGGUCCGGUGGUUAUGCGGAUUUAUUGGGUUUAAAGGGAGAGUAGGCGGCAUGUCAAGCGUGCUGUGAAAUGUCCGGGCUCAACCCGGGACUUGCAGCGCGAACUGGCGUGCUGGAGUCCGCGGAAGGCAGGCGGAAUUCGUGGUGUAGCGGUGAAAUGCGUAGAUAUGACGAAGAACACCGAUUGCGAAGGCAGCUUGCUGCAGCGGAACUGACGCUGAUGCUCGAAAGCGCGGGUAUCGAACAGGAUUAGAUACCCGAGUAGUC